RNAcentral lists this ribosomal RNA (451 nucleotides) under uncultured bacterium. Its description in RNAcentral is "partial 16S ribosomal RNA". It matches the Rfam family "Bacterial small subunit ribosomal RNA", at positions 29 to 523 of the family's 1533-position model. The record is from RNAcentral.
AACGAACGCUGGCGGCAGGCCUAAUACAUGCAAGUCGAACGGAUGUAGCAAUACAUUAGUGGCGCACGGGUGCCUAACGCGUGGGAACAUACCCUUGAGUAAGGAAUAAUGUCUGGAAACGGACACUAAUACCUUAUAAUGACUUCGGUCCAAAGAUUCAUCGCUCAAGGAUUGGCCCGCGUCUGAUUAGCUAGUUGGUGAGGUAACGGCUCACCAAGGCGACGAUCAGUAGCUGGUCUGAGAGGAUGAUCAGCCACACUGGGACUGAGACACGGCCCAGACUCCUACGGGAGGCAGCAGUAAGGAAUAUUGGACAAUGGGGGAAACCCUGAUCCAGCCAUGCCGCGUGAGUGAAGAAGGCCUUAGGGUUGUAAAGCUCUUUCAAUAGUGAAGAUAAUGACGGUAGCUAUAGAAGAAGCCCCGGCUAAAUUCGUGCCAGCAGCCGCCGCAG